Long non-coding RNA from Papilio xuthus (Asian swallowtail), 144 nucleotides. RefSeq lists it as uncharacterized. The record is from RefSeq and is a predicted model, not a curated record. NCBI's taxonomy places the organism in Eukaryota, Metazoa, Arthropoda, Insecta, Lepidoptera, Papilionidae. The transcript has 3 exons.
GAAUAAAUAUAUUUUCUUAUCAGACGUGUGAUUAAAGGUUUACAAAACAAAAUAUAGAGUUUGCUGAAUAAAGAAACUGGUCUCAACAACAAAUGAACUUUUGUAUAUUAAAAUGUUACAAAACAUGUUAUUUUGUAGUUUAAU